RNAcentral lists this ribosomal RNA (1530 nucleotides) under Salmonella enterica. RNAcentral's name for it is "bacterial SSU rRNA". It matches the Rfam family "Bacterial small subunit ribosomal RNA". RNAcentral also lists the same sequence under 1 other name. Lineage: Bacteria; Pseudomonadati; Pseudomonadota; Gammaproteobacteria; Enterobacterales; Enterobacteriaceae. The record is from RNAcentral.
AGAGUUUGAUCAUGGCUCAGAUUGAACGCUGGCGGCAGGCCUAACACAUGCAAGUCGAACGGUAACAGGAAGCAGCUUGCUGCUUUGCUGACGAGUGGCGGACGGGUGAGUAAUGUCUGGGAAACUGCCUGAUGGAGGGGGAUAACUACUGGAAACGGUGGCUAAUACCGCAUAACGUCGCAAGACCAAAGAGGGGGACCUUCGGGCCUCUUGCCAUCAGAUGUGCCCAGAUGGGAUUAGCUAGUUGGUGAGGUAACGGCUCACCAAGGCGACGAUCCCUAGCUGGUCUGAGAGGAUGACCAGCCACACUGGAACUGAGACACGGUCCAGACUCCUACGGGAGGCAGCAGUGGGGAAUAUUGCACAAUGGGCGCAAGCCUGAUGCAGCCAUGCCGCGUGUAUGAAGAAGGCCUUCGGGUUGUAAAGUACUUUCAGCGGGGAGGAAGGUGUUGUGGUUAAUAACCGCAGCAAUUGACGUUACCCGCAGAAGAAGCACCGGCUAACUCCGUGCCAGCAGCCGCGGUAAUACGGAGGGUGCAAGCGUUAAUCGGAAUUACUGGGCGUAAAGCGCACGCAGGCGGUCUGUCAAGUCGGAUGUGAAAUCCCCGGGCUCAACCUGGGAACUGCAUUCGAAACUGGCAGGCUUGAGUCUUGUAGAGGGGGGUAGAAUUCCAGGUGUAGCGGUGAAAUGCGUAGAGAUCUGGAGGAAUACCGGUGGCGAAGGCGGCCCCCUGGACAAAGACUGACGCUCAGGUGCGAAAGCGUGGGGAGCAAACAGGAUUAGAUACCCUGGUAGUCCACGCCGUAAACGAUGUCUACUUGGAGGUUGUGCCCUUGAGGCGUGGCUUCCGGAGCUAACGCGUUAAGUAGACCGCCUGGGGAGUACGGCCGCAAGGUUAAAACUCAAAUGAAUUGACGGGGGCCCGCACAAGCGGUGGAGCAUGUGGUUUAAUUCGAUGCAACGCGAAGAACCUUACCUGGUCUUGACAUCCACGGAAGUUUUCAGAGAUGAGAAUGUGCCUUCGGGAACCGUGAGACAGGUGCUGCAUGGCUGUCGUCAGCUCGUGUUGUGAAAUGUUGGGUUAAGUCCCGCAACGAGCGCAACCCUUAUCCUUUGUUGCCAGCGGUUAGGCCGGGAACUCAAAGGAGACUGCCAGUGAUAAACUGGAGGAAGGUGGGGAUGACGUCAAGUCAUCAUGGCCCUUACGACCAGGGCUACACACGUGCUACAAUGGCGCAUACAAAGAGAAGCGACCUCGCGAGAGCAAGCGGACCUCAUAAAGUGCGUCGUAGUCCGGAUUGGAGUCUGCAACUCGACUCCAUGAAGUCGGAAUCGCUAGUAAUCGUGGAUCAGAAUGCCACGGUGAAUACGUUCCCGGGCCUUGUACACACCGCCCGUCACACCAUGGGAGUGGGUUGCAAAAGAAGUAGGUAGCUUAACCUUCGGGAGGGCGCUUACCACUUUGUGAUUCAUGACUGGGGUGAAGUCGUAACAAGGUAACCGUAGGGGAACCUGCGGUUGGAUCACCU